This 321-nucleotide ribosomal RNA is filed under the name uncultured bacterium. RNAcentral's name for it is "bacterial SSU rRNA". It matches the Rfam family "Bacterial small subunit ribosomal RNA", at positions 521 to 896 of the family's 1533-position model. The record is from RNAcentral.
UAAUACGGGGGGAGCAAGCGUUGUUCGGAUUUACUGGGCGUAAAGGGCGCGUAGGCGGUCGUGACAAGUCACUUGUGAAAUCUCCGGGCUUAACUCGGAACGGUCAAGUGAUACUGUCGGACUAGAGUACAGAAGGGGCAACUGGAAUUCUCGGUGUAGCGGUGAAAUGCGUAGAUAUCGAGAGGAACACCUGCGGCGAAGGCGGGUUGCUGGGCUGAUACUGACGCUGAGGCGCGAAAGCCAGGGGAGCGAACGGGAUUAGAUACCCCGGUAGUCCUGGCCUUAAACGAUGAAUGCUUGGGGAGUAUGGUCGCAAGGCUG